ACGGAGGAUGCAAGCGUUAUCCGGAUUUAUUGGGUUUAAAGGGUGCGUAGGCGGAAUAAUAAGUCAGUGGUGAAAUACCCCGGCUCAACCGGGGAACUGCCAUUGAUACUGUUAAUCUAGAGUACAUUUGAGGUGGGCGGAAUGCAGCAUGUAGCGGUGAAAUGCGUAGAUAUGAGGCGGAACACCGAUGGCGAAGGCAGCUUACUGGACUGAACCUGACGCUGAGGUGCGAAAGCGUGGGGAGCAAACAG
Molecule: ribosomal RNA, 251 nt
Filed under: uncultured prokaryote
Description: partial 16S rRNA
Rfam family: Bacterial small subunit ribosomal RNA
Source: RNAcentral